GAGAGGUGAGUCCGGGGAGUCACAGCUGAGAUCUGCUCACCUGGAGCAGCAGCCACUGGAGCCACAGACGGUAGAGCAGUAAACGGAAACUGUCAUGAACUGCUGGAGGACCAGUGGGUUGCCAGGAGAGAGAAAUCCUGGGAGCUGAGGUCCUAGGGACUUUUCUGGUCUUUACCUCCAAAAAGCACCAUGGGCUCAAGCUGAAGAUCCUCCUAAGGCUCUGAGGGAAAAGGAGAUGUAACUGGAAAAUAGGACCAGAGCCUUCUCUGUAACAAAGAUCUGCUUUCCAGGGGAAGGGUUUUGCCAACACCUACCUCAGAGCUCUGGUUCAGACUGAGAAGUUUCUCUACACCUGCUCUGCAAGAAAUGUUAAGAGAUGUUCUUUCGGCUAAGGAAAUGACCUAGCAAUCGGAUCUGGGUCUAACCAAUAAAGGAAGAGCGCUGGGAGAACGACUAAAUGAAGGAUGUAAACAACUUCAAUGAGAAGUGCACAAGGGAAGUACUUUGUGCUUUGUCUGGAAAGCCACAGGCAUCUCUGAAUGCAACUGACCCUCUUGCAGGGUGAAAAAAACGAUUUCAGUGUCCAGCAAGAGCCCUUCAUUGUUUCAUGCCUGUGGGUCAAGAAACCACCAUAGGCAGC
Molecule: long non-coding RNA, 640 nt
Organism: Tupaia belangeri chinensis (Chinese tree shrew)
Lineage: Eukaryota; Metazoa; Chordata; Mammalia; Scandentia; Tupaiidae
Exons: 4
Source: RefSeq, a predicted model, not a curated record